Molecule: long non-coding RNA, 475 nt
Filed under: Nicotiana benthamiana
Lineage: Eukaryota; Viridiplantae; Streptophyta; Magnoliopsida; Solanales; Solanaceae
Description: long non-coding RNA (NBEN_LNC022356)
Source: RNAcentral
AAGUGGAGAAGCAUUUGCAUUGAGGCCAACAUACGGGUUCCAAUUAUUUUAACAAAACCAAAAGAAUAACAAAUUGAUGUGUGCGUAUCUAAUUUUGCGAAAGUGAAACCGAGCUAAACUUGCAGAAAUUGAAGUCUGUGACAAGCUGAAUAAAGCUAAGAAAUAGUAGCUGGGUGAAGCUCAACAGAGCACGGUACAACAGCAGAGUCAUUAGCAUUUUAGUUCCAAAACAUUACUUGAAAAGCCAAACAAUGGAAGCACGCAGCAUUAUUUCCAAGCAAUUGCCGAGAUCGCAUUUUAAACCUAUUUUUCUCUAUUGUUAGAACCUAUUUUAUUUUUGAGACAGUGCUGUGGCGACGGGAGUGCGUAUGAUAGAUCAAGAUGAAUGGGAGAAGAAGAAGGAACGAAAAGAAAAUGGAGAAGAAGAAGAAGGGCUCGGAUGAGCCGUUUCUCUAUCAGAGAGGAAGGAUUCUAG